This 605-nucleotide ribosomal RNA is filed under the name Stenotrophomonas maltophilia. RNAcentral's name for it is "partial 16S ribosomal RNA". The record is from RNAcentral. Lineage: Bacteria; Pseudomonadati; Pseudomonadota; Gammaproteobacteria; Lysobacterales; Lysobacteraceae.
GGCGAACUUAACGCGUUAGCUUCGAUACUGCGUGCCAAAUUGCACCCAACAUCCAGUUCGCAUCGUUUAGGGCGUGGACUACCAGGGUAUCUAAUCCUGUUUGCUCCCCACGCUUUCGUGCCUCAGUGUCAGUGUUGGUCCAGGUAGCUGCCUUCGCCACGGAUGUUCCUCCUGAUCUCUACGCAUUUCACUGCUACACCAGGAAUUCCGCUACCCUCUACCACACUCUAGUCGCCCAGUAUCCACUGCAGUUCCCAGGUUGAGCCCAGGGCUUUCACAACGGACUUAAACGACCACCUACGCACGCUUUACGCCCAGUAAUUCCGAGUAACGCUUGCACCCUUCGUAUUACCGCGGCUGCUGGCACGAAGUUAGCCGGCGCUUAUUCUUUGGGUACCGUCAUCCCAACCGGGUAUUAACCAGCUGGAUUUCUUUCCCAACAAAAGGGCUUUACAACCCGAAGGCCUUCUUCACCCACGCGGUAUGGCUGGAUCAGGCUUGCGCCCAUUGUCCAAUAUUCCCCACUGCUGCCUCCCGUAGGAGUCUGGACCGUGUCUCAGUUCCAGUGUGGCUGACCAUCCUCUCAGACCAGCUACGGAUCGUCG